AGUCAAUAGAUACCCGGGUAGUCCACGCCGUAAACGAUGAAUACUAGGUGUGGGGGUUGUCAUGACCUCCGUGCCGCCGCUAAACGCAUUAAGUAUUCCGCCUGGGGAGUACGGUCGCAAGAUUAAAACUCAAAGGAAUUGACGGGGGCCCGCACAAGCAGCGGAGCAUGUGGUUUAAAUUCGAAGCAACGCGAAGAACCUUACCUAGACUUGACAUCUCCUGAAUUACUCUGUAAUGGAGGAAGCCCUUCGGGGUCAGGAAGACAGGUGGUGCAUGGUUGUCGUCAGCUCGUGUCGUGAGAUGUUGGGUUAAGUCCCGCAACGAGCGCAACCCUUAUUGUUAGUUGCUACCAUUUAGUUGAGCACUCUAGCGAGACUGCCCGGGUUAACCGGGUAGGAAGGUGGGGAUGACGUCAAAUCAUCAUGCCCCUUACUGUCUAGGGCUACACACGUGCUACAAUGGCUGGUACAGAGAGAUGCAAUACCGCGAGGUGGAGCCAAACUUCAAAACCAGUCUCAGUUCGGAUUGUAGGCUGAAACCUCGCC
This 546-nucleotide ribosomal RNA is filed under the name uncultured bacterium. RNAcentral describes it as "bacterial SSU rRNA". It matches the Rfam family "Bacterial small subunit ribosomal RNA", at positions 775 to 1316 of the family's 1533-position model. The record is from RNAcentral.